UGGAGAAUGAUGGUGUGUGAUGGUGAAUGUUGGUGUGUGAUGGAGAAUGUUGGUGUUUGAUGGUGAAUGAUAGUGUGUGAUGGUGAAUGUUGGUGUUUGAUGGUGAAUGUUGGUGUGUGAUGGUGAAUGUUGAAUGUUGGUGGAGAAUGUUGGUGUGUGAUGGUGAAUGUUGGUGUGUGAUGGAGAAUGUUGGUGUUUGAUGGUGAAUGGUGUGGAGAAUGUUGGUGUGUGAUGGUGAAUGUUGGUGUGUGAUGGUGAAUGUUGGUGUGUGAUGGAGAAUGUUGGUGUGUGAUGGUGAAUGUUGGUGUGUGAUGGAGAAUGUUGGUGUGUGAUGGUGAAUGUUGGUGUAUGAUGGUGAAUGUUGGUGUGUGAUGGAGAAUGUUGGUGUGUGAUGGUGAAUGUUGGUGUAUGAUGGUGAAUGUUGGUGUGUGAUGGUGAAUGUUGGUGUGUGAUGGUGAAUGUUGGUGUGUGCUGGAGAAUGAUGGUGUGAUGGAGAAUGUCGGUGUG
Molecule: long non-coding RNA, 507 nt
Organism: Ictalurus punctatus (channel catfish)
Lineage: Eukaryota; Metazoa; Chordata; Actinopteri; Siluriformes; Ictaluridae
Source: Ensembl